GAACAAAUGCGUAAAAGGGCUGCGACGUUCCGGGCCUUGUACACACCGCCCGUCACACCAUGGAAGUCUGCAAUGCCCAAAGCCGGUGGCCUUACCUUCGGGAAGGAGCCGUCUAAGGCAGGGCAGAUGACUGGGGUGAAGUCGUAACAAGGUAGCCGUAGGAGAACCUGCGGCUGGAUCACCUCCUUUCUAAGGAA
RNAcentral lists this ribosomal RNA (197 nucleotides) under Lactobacillus helveticus. RNAcentral describes it as "partial 16S ribosomal RNA". It matches the Rfam family "Bacterial small subunit ribosomal RNA", at positions 923 to 1533 of the family's 1533-position model. Lineage: Bacteria; Bacillati; Bacillota; Bacilli; Lactobacillales; Lactobacillaceae. The record is from RNAcentral.